Suricata suricatta (meerkat) is the source of this 107-nucleotide small nuclear RNA. The record is from Ensembl. NCBI's taxonomy places the organism in Eukaryota, Metazoa, Chordata, Mammalia, Carnivora, Herpestidae.
GUGCUCACUUCAGCAGCACAUAUACUAAUAUUGGAACCACAAAGAGAAGAGUAACAUGGCCCAGUGCCAGGAUGAUACGCAAAUCUUUGGACACCACUGCAGUACAA